GAUGAACGCUGGCGGCGUGCCUAAUACAUGCAAGUAGAACGCUGAAGGAAGGAGCUUGCUCUUUCCGGAUGAGUUGCGAACGGGUGAGUAACGCGUAGGUAACCUGCCUGGUAGCGGGGGAUAACUAUUGGAAACGAUAGCUAAUACCGCAUAACAGUAGAUGUUGCAUGAUAUCUACUUAAAAGGUGCAAUUGCACCACUACCAGAUGGACCUGCGUUGUAUUAGCUAGUUGGUGAGGUAACGGCUCACCAAGGCGACGAUACAUAGCCGACCUGAGAGGGUGAUCGGACACACUGGGACGGAGACGCGGCCCAGACUCCUACGGGAGGCAGCAGUAGUGAAUCUUCGGCAAGGGACGGAAGUCUGACCGAGCAACGCCGCGUGAGUGAAGAAGGUUUUCGGAUCGUAAAGCUCUGUUGUAAGAGAAGAACGAGUGUGAGAGUGGAAAGUUCACACUGUGACGGUAUCUUACCAGAAAGGGACGGCUAACUACGUG
This 497-nucleotide ribosomal RNA is filed under the name uncultured bacterium. RNAcentral's name for it is "partial 16S ribosomal RNA". It matches the Rfam family "Bacterial small subunit ribosomal RNA", at positions 28 to 507 of the family's 1533-position model. The record is from RNAcentral.